RNAcentral lists this ribosomal RNA (875 nucleotides) under uncultured bacterium. Its description in RNAcentral is "bacterial SSU rRNA". It matches the Rfam family "Bacterial small subunit ribosomal RNA", at positions 28 to 896 of the family's 1533-position model. The record is from RNAcentral.
GAUGAACGCUAGCGGGAGGCCUAAUACAUGCAAGUCGAGGGGCAGCAGUACAAUACCUAGUAUUGUAGCUGGCGACCGGCGCACGGGUGAGUAACGCGUACGCAACUUACCUCCAAGAGGGGAAUAGCCCUGGGAAACUGGGAUUAAUGCCCCAUAGUUUAUUGACACUGCCUGGUGUUAAUAAUAAAGCUUUGGUGCUUGGAGAUAGGCGUGCGUCCUAUUAGCUAGUUGGUGAGGUAACGGCUCACCAAGGCGAUGAUAGGUAGGGGGCGUGAGAGCGUGACCCCCCACACGGGUACUGAGACACGGACCCGACUCCUACGGGAGGCAGCAGUAAGGAAUAUUGGACAAUGGAGGCAACUCUGAUCCAGCCAUCCCGCGUGCAGGAUGAAUGCCCUUUGGGUUGUAAACUGCUUUUACUAGGGAAGAAAGGUAGUCAUUUAUGAUUAUUUGACGGUACCUAAAGAAUAAGCACCGGCUAACUCCGUGCCAGCAGCCGCGGUAAUACGGAGGGUGCAAGCGUUAUCCGGAUUUACUGGGUUUAAAGGGUGCGUAGGCGGCUUAUUAAGUCAUAGGUGAAAGGCAUCGGCUUAACCGAUGGAUUGCCUGUGAUACUGGUGAGCUUGAAUUGGGUUGAGGUUGGCGGAAUGUGACAUGUAGCGGUGAAAUGCAUAGAUAUGUCAUAGAACAUCGAUUGCGAAGGCAGCUGACUGGACCUUGAUUGACGCUGAGGCACGAAAGCGUGGGUAGCGAACAGGAUUAGAUACCCUGGUAGUCCACGCCCUAAACGAUGCUCACUCGAUAUUUGCUUUACGGAGUAAGUGUCCAAGCGAAAGCGUUAAGUGAGCCACCUGGGGAGUACGUUCGCAAGAAUG